UGUAAUUUAUAGAGAGUUAUAACGAAGCUUCGUUAUAUGAGAACCCGAAAUUAGUAUUACAAAUACAGAAUAAGGAUUUUAUUCAUCACAUUCAUCUAGCACCUACACAAUUCCACAUCCAUCUUACUCUUAAAUAAAUUGAUGGUGUUGGAAACACUCAUCAUAUGCCAACUAUCCCACUAAACACUCAUCAUUCCACUAAACACUCAUUAUUCCACACACUCAUCAUUCCACUAAACACUCUUUACACCUUCUUUUGCCAGCCAUCUUCUACACUUUAACAUCUCAACAUGCAAUUAGCUUUUAUUUAAUCAAAAUCAGCAACCAACAUUCCUCCCAUUCCUCCUAACAUUCUGAUCCAAGCUAUUCUUAUGCUUGAAUUAUAAUUCACUGAUUCCAGCUUUCCAAAUCAGUUUCCAAGAUUUCCCAAAACAAGAAAGAGAUCCAAUUUUGGUGAAUUCAGAAAGAAGAUUUUCCUCAUUUCCUACUCAUAUCAAGGUUACCUCCUACUUUACUUUCUCCAUACAUUCAUUUGUUAAAUUACAAAACUAUGAUUCAAAUGAAAACAGAUCGAACACACGCAUCCAUUACCACUUCUUUUAGACUAUUAUUGUUUCAAUUACAUCAGCUUAUUACCAUCAGAGAACCACCAACAGAAUAAUACACACGCACACAUUUUACUAUAUUUCUAUCUAUUACAAGUACAGAUCAGUUUUUGUAAAUAGAAAUGAAUGAAAAUGAACAGAAUUGAAACCCUAAGUGCUCUAUGUGUGUUUUGUGCGUGUGACUGGAAUUUGGGGGGGGUGAGAGCAGUCGGCGGCUGCUCGCGGCCGGAGGCGGCGCGGCGGCAGUCGCCGCCUUUUUCCUUUGUCUGUCUGAAACGAGAGAGAGAUGGUUAGGGCUGCUGUAAAAAUAAAAAAAAAAAAAAGAGA
Long non-coding RNA from Salvia miltiorrhiza (redroot sage), 932 nucleotides. RefSeq lists it as uncharacterized. The transcript is spliced from 2 exons. NCBI's taxonomy places the organism in Eukaryota, Viridiplantae, Streptophyta, Magnoliopsida, Lamiales, Lamiaceae. The record is from RefSeq and is a predicted model, not a curated record.